AAGUCGUAACAAGGUUUCCGUAGGUGAACCUGCGGAAGGAUCAUUAUUGAAUAACUUGGUGUUGAGCUGGUCCUAUUGGGCAUGUGCUCGCAUCAUAUUAUUUAUCUAUCUCUUGUGCACCUUUUGUAGUCUUUGAAGUGUUCGCAGUCAAUGCGGUUUGGGGCUUGGGCUUUUGCAGUCCUUUCCCUGUUUGCUUCAAAGGCUAUGUUUUAUACACACUAUUUGAAGUUACAGAAUGUCUCUUAUUGACCUUUGAGUCAGUAAAUCAAUACAACUUUCAGCAACGGAUCUCUUGGCUCUC
RNAcentral lists this unclassified non-coding RNA (301 nucleotides) under air metagenome. RNAcentral describes it as "partial contains small subunit ribosomal RNA, internal transcribed spacer 1, and 5.8S ribosomal RNA". The stretch from base 1 to 46 matches the Rfam family "Eukaryotic small subunit ribosomal RNA", at positions 1786 to 1831 of the family's 1831-position model. The record is from RNAcentral.